GGAUGGAUGUCUGAGUGGUUGAAGGAGUCGGUCUUGAAAACCGAAGUAUUGAAAAUACCGGGGGUUCAAAUCCCUCUCUAUCCG
Molecule: transfer RNA, 84 nt
Filed under: Sphagnum orientale
Lineage: Eukaryota; Viridiplantae; Streptophyta; Sphagnopsida; Sphagnales; Sphagnaceae
Also listed under: 1 other name
Description: tRNA-Ser
Rfam family: tRNA
About the family: Transfer RNA (tRNA) molecules are approximately 80 nucleotides in length. Their secondary structure includes four short double-helical elements and three loops (D, anti-codon, and T loops).
Source: RNAcentral